GGGUUGUGAGGUUAAGCGACUAAGCGUACACGGUGGAUGCCCUGGCAGUCAGAGGCGAUGAAGGACGUGCUAAUCUGCGAUAAGCGUCGGUAAGGUGAUAUGAACCGUUAUAACCGGCGAUUUCCGAAUGGGGAAACCCAGUGUGUUUCGACACACUAUCAUUAACUGAAUCCAUAGGUUAAUGAGGCGAACCGGGGGAACUGAAACAUCUAAGUACCCCGAGGAAAAGAAAUCAACCGAGAUUCCCCCAGUAGCGGCGAGCGAACGGGGAGCAGCCCAGAGCCUGAAUCAGUGUGUGUGUUAGUGGAAGCGUCUGGAAAGGCGCGCGAUACAGGGUGACAGCCCCGUACACAAAAAUGCACAUGCUGUGAGCUCGAUGAGUAGGGCGGGACACGUGGUAUCCUGUCUGAAUAUGGGGGGACCAUCCUCCAAGGCUAAAUACUCCUGACUGACCGAUAGUGAACCAGUACCGUGAGGGAAAGGCGAAAAGAACCCCGGCGAGGGGAGUGAAAAAGAACCUGAAACCGUGUACGUACAAGCAGUGGGAGCACGCUUAGGCGUGUGACUGCGUACCUUUUGUAUAAUGGGUCAGCGACUUAUAUUCUGUAGCAAGGUUAACCGAAUAGGGGAGCCGAAGGGAAACCGAGUCUUAACUGGGCGUUAAGUUGCAGGGUAUAGACCCGAAACCCGGUGAUCUAGCCAUGGGCAGGUUGAAGGUUGGGUAACACUAACUGGAGGACCGAACCGACUAAUGUUGAAAAAUUAGCGGAUGACUUGUGGCUGGGGGUGAAAGGCCAAUCAAACCGGGAGAUAGCUGGUUCUCCCCGAAAGCUAUUUAGGUAGCGCCUCGUGAAUUCAUCUCCGGGGGUAGAGCACUGUUUCGGCAAGGGGGUCAUCCCGACUUACCAACCCGAUGCAAACUGCGAAUACCGGAGAAUGUUAUCACGGGAGACACACGGCGGGUGCUAACGUCCGUCGUGAAGAGGGAAACAACCCAGACCGCCAGCUAAGGUCCCAAAGUCAUGGUUAAGUGGGAAACGAUGUGGGAAGGCCCAGACAGCCAGGAUGUUGGCUUAGAAGCAGCCAUCAUUUAAAGAAAGCGUAAUAGCUCACUGGUCGAGUCGGCCUGCGCGGAAGAUGUAACGGGGCUAAACCAUGCACCGAAGCUGCGGCAGCGACGCUUAUGCGUUGUUGGGUAGGGGAGCGUUCUGUAAGCCUGCGAAGGUGUACUGUGAGGUAUGCUGGAGGUAUCAGAAGUGCGAAUGCUGACAUAAGUAACGAUAAAGCGGGUGAAAAGCCCGCUCGCCGGAAGACCAAGGGUUCCUGUCCAACGUUAAUCGGGGCAGGGUGAGUCGACCCCUAAGGCGAGGCCGAAAGGCGUAGUCGAUGGGAAACAGGUUAAUAUUCCUGUACUUGGUGUUACUGCGAAGGGGGGACGGAGAAGGCUAUGUUGGCCGGGCGACGGUUGUCCCGGUUUAAGCGUGUAGGCUGGUUUUCCAGGCAAAUCCGGAAAAUCAAGGCUGAGGCGUGAUGACGAGGCACUACGGUGCUGAAGCAACAAAUGCCCUGCUUCCAGGAAAAGCCUCUAAGCAUCAGGUAACAUCAAAUCGUACCCCAAACCGACACAGGUGGUCAGGUAGAGAAUACCAAGGCGCUUGAGAGAACUCGGGUGAAGGAACUAGGCAAAAUGGUGCCGUAACUUCGGGAGAAGGCACGCUGAUAUGUAGGUGAAGUCCCUCGCGGAUGGAGCUGAAAUCAGUCGAAGAUACCAGCUGGCUGCAACUGUUUAUUAAAAACACAGCACUGUGCAAACACGAAAGUGGACGUAUACGGUGUGACGCCUGCCCGGUGCCGGAAGGUUAAUUGAUGGGGUCAGCGCAAGCGAAGCUCUUGAUCGAAGCCCCGGUAAACGGCGGCCGUAACUAUAACGGUCCUAAGGUAGCGAAAUUCCUUGUCGGGUAAGUUCCGACCUGCACGAAUGGCGUAAUGAUGGCCAGGCUGUCUCCACCCGAGACUCAGUGAAAUUGAACUCGCUGUGAAGAUGCAGUGUACCCGCGGCAAGACGGAAAGACCCCGUGAACCUUUACUAUAGCUUGACACUGAACAUUGAGCCUUGAUGUGUAGGAUAGGUGGGAGGCUUUGAAGUGUGGACGCCAGUCUGCAUGGAGCCGACCUUGAAAUACCACCCUUUAAUGUUUGAUGUUCUAACGUUGACCCGUGAUCCGGGUUGCGGACAGUGUCUGGUGGGUAGUUUGACUGGGGCGGUCUCCUCCUAAAGAGUAACGGAGGAGCACGAAGGUUGGCUAAUCCUGGUCGGACAUCAGGAGGUUAGUGCAAUGGCAUAAGCCAGCUUGACUGCGAGCGUGACGGCGCGAGCAGGUGCGAAAGCAGGUCAUAGUGAUCCGGUGGUUCUGAAUGGAAGGGCCAUCGCUCAACGGAUAAAAGGUACUCCGGGGAUAACAGGCUGAUACCGCCCAAGAGUUCAUAUCGACGGCGGUGUUUGGCACCUCGAUGUCGGCUCAUCACAUCCUGGGGCUGAAGUAGGUCCCAAGGGUAUGGCUGUUCGCCAUUUAAAGUGGUACGCGAGCUGGGUUUAGAACGUCGUGAGACAGUUCGGUCCCUAUCUGCCGUGGGCGCUGGAGAACUGAGGGGGGCUGCUCCUAGUACGAGAGGACCGGAGUGGACGCAUCACUGGUGUUCGGGUUGUCAUGCCAAUGGCACUGCCCGGUAGCUAAAUGCGGAAGAGAUAAGUGCUGAAAGCAUCUAAGCACGAAACUUGCCCCGAGAUGAGUUCUCCCUGACCCUUUAAGGGUCCUGAAGGAACGUUGAAGACGACGACGUUGAUAGGCCGGGUGUGUAAGCGCAGCGAUGCGUUGAGCUAACCGGUACUAAUGAACCGUGAGGCUUAACCUUACAACGCCGAAGCUGUU
This 2930-nucleotide ribosomal RNA is filed under the name Escherichia coli. RNAcentral describes it as "23S ribosomal RNA". It matches the Rfam family "Bacterial large subunit ribosomal RNA". Lineage: Bacteria; Pseudomonadati; Pseudomonadota; Gammaproteobacteria; Enterobacterales; Enterobacteriaceae. The record is from RNAcentral.